Molecule: ribosomal RNA, 256 nt
Filed under: Vibrio sp. UCD-FRSSP16_10
Lineage: Bacteria; Pseudomonadati; Pseudomonadota; Gammaproteobacteria; Vibrionales; Vibrionaceae
Also listed under: 1 other name
Description: partial 16S ribosomal RNA
Rfam family: Bacterial small subunit ribosomal RNA
Source: RNAcentral
UAGUCCGGAUUGGAGUCUGCAACUCGACUCCAUGAAGUCGGAAUCGCUAGUAAUCGUGAAUCAGAAUGUCACGGUGAAUACGUUCCCGGGCCUUGUACACACCGCCCGUCACACCAUGGGAGUGGGCUGCAAAAGAAGUGGGUAGUUUAACCUUUCGGGGAGGACGCUCACCACUUUGUGGUUCAUGACUGGGGUGAAGUCGUAACAAGGUAGCCCUAGGGGAACCUGGGGCUGGAUCACCUCCUUAUACGAUGAU